GACGAACGCUGGCGGCGUGCUUAACACAUGCAAGUCGAACGGAAAGGCCCUGCUUGCAGGGUACUCGAGUGGCGAACGGGUGAGUAACACGUGGGUGAUCUGCCCUGCACUUCGGGAUAAGCCUGGGAAACUGGGUCUAAUACCGGAUAGGAGCCAUUUUUAGUGUGAUGGUUGGAAAGUUUUUUCGGUGUAGGAUGAGCUCGCGGCCUAUCAGCUUGUUGGUGGGGUAAUGGCCCACCAAGGCGGCGACGGGUAGCCGGCCUGAGAGGGUGGACGGCCACAUUGGGACUGAGAUACGGCCCAGACUCCUACGGGAGGCAGCAGUGGGGAAUAUUGCACAAGGGGCGCAAGCCUGAUGCAGCGACGCCGCGUGGGGGAUGACGGCCUUCGGGUUGUAAACUCCUUUCGCUAGGGACGAAGCUUUUUGUGACGGUACCUAGAUAAGAAGCACCGGCUAACUACGUG
This 465-nucleotide ribosomal RNA is filed under the name uncultured bacterium. RNAcentral's name for it is "partial 16S ribosomal RNA". It matches the Rfam family "Bacterial small subunit ribosomal RNA", at positions 28 to 507 of the family's 1533-position model. The record is from RNAcentral.